Long non-coding RNA from Uloborus diversus, 993 nucleotides. RefSeq lists it as uncharacterized. The transcript has 4 exons. Lineage: Eukaryota; Metazoa; Arthropoda; Arachnida; Araneae; Uloboridae. The record is from RefSeq and is a predicted model, not a curated record.
ACCUGUUCCUUGGAGAGCAAUCUUGUCUUCAGGACCGGAUUGGGAUCUAGCUAUCACACAUUUCGGAAACAGUUGAGGCUAUUACACUCUCCUUACAGAGCUUCCCAAAUACUUCUCAAACAUUUUGCAUUUUGAUCUUAAAAAAAAUGGAGGUCUCUCUGCCCUUCCCUACGCGACGCAAGCAGCUUGCGGUAUGAUUGCUUGUUUACAGCUGACAAACUGAGACAACACUCCAAUUUACGCAUUACCACCAUUCGGAAGAUCGUCAAUUCUGUUGCAUUCUACGGUCCCGGCUGGCUGUCGCGUUUGUGGGUUGCAACCUUGCAGUCAUUGUAGCUCUGCUCGCUUUCUCGGUGGGUUUCAACGGGUUCAUCUUCUCGGGAUUCAACGUGAUCGACGUUGACUUUAGCCCAGAAUUCGCAGCAAACAUUGAAAAACCGGAGUACCGUUUUCGUGACCACAUCAAUUGUUUACUUCAUCACGGGAAGCAUGUACAACUACUUUGGAUCAGCUGAACUGCAGCCAUGGGGAUCUUCAGCCAGAAACAUGGAGCCUGAAACAAUUCUCCAAGACCCUGAAGCCGAAGAACCCGAAAAUAAUAAACCAAUGUCAUACCCAUAAACAGUUUGAUUGCAUUUUCGGUAGAAGGUCCGAUGCUACACUCUGGGGGAGCGAUUAAAAGAGUUUGCUGCUUUUUAUUUCGAAAAAGAACUGAAAACACUGCACAGUUCACCGUGUAACAGUUACUGUAAAAUGGACUGUUUAGUAGCUGUUUUUAAAUGCUGACUUGAAGUUGCCGAGCUCUCGUCCUACCUUUUAAUUCUGUGCAAUAUAAUAUAUUCUAAAAGUAUUGUGAUGCUAUGAAAUAAAAACUAGAAGUGCAACAGUCUCUCUAAAGCGACUGCUUAAGAAGCUGCUUUUGGGUACUGAUUUGAAGUCUUCGAACACUCUCGUUCUACCUUUUAAAUUUGGUGCAAUAUAACAAGUGCAAGA